GAGGGGAGCGCGGGAUCCUGGGCUGUGACCCCCAACACCCUGGGAUCCGGGUCCUGCGCCGCUGGAAUCGUGCUCCCGGCCGCAGCCCCCU
This 91-nucleotide microRNA precursor is filed under the name Canis lupus familiaris (dog). Its description in RNAcentral is "mir-8799 microRNA precursor family". It matches the Rfam family "mir-8799 microRNA precursor family". Lineage: Eukaryota; Metazoa; Chordata; Mammalia; Carnivora; Canidae. The record is from Rfam by way of RNAcentral.